RNAcentral lists this transfer RNA (75 nucleotides) under Rhodovulum sp. RNAcentral describes it as "tRNA-Glu". It matches the Rfam family "tRNA". From Rfam's summary of the family: Transfer RNA (tRNA) molecules are approximately 80 nucleotides in length. Their secondary structure includes four short double-helical elements and three loops (D, anti-codon, and T loops). The record is from RNAcentral. Lineage: Bacteria; Pseudomonadati; Pseudomonadota; Alphaproteobacteria; Rhodobacterales; Paracoccaceae. RNAcentral also lists the same sequence under 3 other names.
GGCUCCUUCGUCUAUCGGUUAGGACGCCAGAUUCUCAAUCUGGAAAGACGGGUUCGACUCCCGUAGGAGCUGCCA